This 430-nucleotide small RNA is filed under the name Pan troglodytes (chimpanzee). RNAcentral's name for it is "processed transcript". Lineage: Eukaryota; Metazoa; Chordata; Mammalia; Primates; Hominidae. The record is from RNAcentral.
AGAGCCCAAGGACGGGGGCCUACAGAGGAGGUCCAGCCCAGCUGCUGACGUCCAGGGAGAAAACCUCUGUGAGUGAGAGGCAGAGAGGAUGCUGCCGUGAAGAACACACAGCCUGAGGACAGGGUGGAAAUGGACACUUGGGUGAGACCCCGCCCCUGUCCCAGGCACCAAAGGCCUCCUGGUGCCAGAUCUAAUCCUGCAGGACUUCUCUGUCCUCCUUCCCCCGGCUCUCAGCAUCGUCACGGUGGACCCCUCCUUGUCCAGCACUCUGCCUCCCGCCUGCUGGGACCUCACUCUCUCCUGGUGUCCUGGGACCUCGUGGGCCUCCUCCCCGGUCCCCUUCCUGCUCCUCAUCCUCUGUUUGGCCCUCUGGUUGUUAGAGCGCUCCCCAGGCCUCAGGAGGAUGAGGAAUAAAUGAACCACCUCGGUC